AGGCAGGCGGUUUCGGUGGAAGCUGUUGGGGGUGCUCAGCACUUCUUUUGGCAGAGCUCGAUUAGCCAGAACCAUUCCACCUUUCCCUGGGCAAAGAUUAAGGACAGUACAGGUCAAAGAAAUACAUCUUGAAACUGGGCUGCUCCUUUUAAUGUCUUUGCUGUAAUUGAUGAUUGCUGAAGAGACAAGACCGACAACUAUCAGCUUUUCAAGUCCUGGCAAGUAAUGCAGACCCCAUGCUCCCUCACUGGCUUUAUCAGAAUCAAAGGCAAACAAGGGGCCCAGCUCUCAUUCGAAGUCGCAGCAUCAGGAUCUUGCCUCGACUUUCAGAGUUGUUAGCAGCACAAGAAAAACAACAGCUGAAGCUCCUCCCUGGAAUAAUUUUACAGAUACUGGAAACAUACACAUUAUUUUAAUAAAUAGAACAAUUUCAGAAACAAGAUAAAAACCUAAUGGGCAAGUUGUGCUAAUUUUCAUUCUAUUAUUUUCAUCUUUUUAUUACUUCAAGUCCUAUUUUUGAAAAAUACUUUGUUAAAUCA
Long non-coding RNA from Acomys russatus (golden spiny mouse), 539 nucleotides. RefSeq lists it as uncharacterized. NCBI's taxonomy places the organism in Eukaryota, Metazoa, Chordata, Mammalia, Rodentia, Muridae. The record is from RefSeq and is a predicted model, not a curated record. The transcript has 4 exons.